This 452-nucleotide ribosomal RNA is filed under the name Petalonia fascia. RNAcentral describes it as "SSU rRNA". It matches the Rfam family "Eukaryotic small subunit ribosomal RNA", at positions 1309 to 1776 of the family's 1831-position model. The record is from RNAcentral. Lineage: Eukaryota; Phaeophyceae; Ectocarpales; Scytosiphonaceae.
AUUUGUCUGGUUAAUUCCGUNAANGAACGAGACCCCCGCCUGCUAAAUAGUGUGGCUUACGCUUUUGCGUAGGUGCUCGCUUCUUAGAGGGACUUCUGGUGACUAACCAGAGGAAGUUGGGGGCAAUAACAGGUCUGUGAUGCCCUUAGAUGUCCUGGGCCGCACGCGCGCUACACUGAUGCAUGCAACGAGUUAUAUUUUUCCUAGGUCGAGAGGCCUGGGUAAUCUUUUGAACGUGCAUCGUGAUAGGGAUAGAUCAUUGCAAUUAUUGAUCUUGAACGAGGAAUUCCUAGUAAACGCGAGUCAUCAGCUCGCAUUGAUUACGUCCCUGCCCUUUGUACACACCGCCCGUCGCACCUACCGAUUGAAUCAUUCGGUGAGGAUCUCGGAUUUUGUUUUUUACGCUUCACGGCGUUUCAGACGAGAGAAGUCAUCCAAACCUCAUGAUUUAG